This 533-nucleotide ribosomal RNA is filed under the name Paecilomyces variotii. Its description in RNAcentral is "SSU rRNA". It matches the Rfam family "Bacterial small subunit ribosomal RNA", at positions 374 to 940 of the family's 1533-position model. Lineage: Eukaryota; Fungi; Ascomycota; Eurotiomycetes; Eurotiales; Thermoascaceae. The record is from RNAcentral.
GCCUAAAGGCUGAACCAGUAACUUGGAAGAAUGAAAAUGUAUUAGUAAUAAUACAAUAACGAUUAAUUCGUAUAAAAUUCUAAAUAGGAUAAUGAUAAUGACAAUUUCCUAUUUAUAAGUCUUGACCAAAUUACGUGCCAGCAGUCGCGGUAAUACGUAGAAGACUAGUGUUAGUCAUCUUUAUUAGGUUUAAAGGGUACCUAGACGGUAAAUUAAACUCUAAAUGAGUACUUUUUUACUAGAGUUUUAUGAGAGAAGGAAGAAUUUCUGGAGUAGAGAUAAAAUGCUUUGAUACCAGAAGGACUGGUAACGGCGAAGGCAUCCUUCUAUGUAAAAACUGACGUUGAGGGACGAAGGCUUGGGUAGCAAUAAGGAUUAGAUACCCUAGUAGUCCAAGCAGAAAAUGAUGAAUGUCAUAGGCUAGAUAAUAUAUUUAGUCUAUAAAUGAAAGUGUAAGCAUUCCACCUCAAGAGUAAUAUGGCAACAUAUAAACUGAAAUCAUUAGACCGUUUCUGAAACCAGUAGUGAAGUAU